UCUAGACUCGUUGUUCUUCCUCCACACGCUGUCAAAGUUGAUUACCUGUAUCAGUAUACUGCAGUGUUGAGUGGAGACGAGUGUGAAGACUCGACAGCGCACUUGUGAACAUCACACAGCGUUCUGACUCUACUUUGCAACAUUCCAAGCAGAGAACUGCGGAUGAGCAGUGACGGCGAAAAGUCACCAAGUCGUCGCCAGUUUCAAUCUCGCAUCAAGACUCAACACACGCUGGUGUGAGUUAGCACACCCUUCACUUCAGCUGAUCACCGCAGCUUAGCGAAAGCUGACGCCGCAGUUCUGUUGGGCCGACAGCAGGGUGGCCGACAAAAGCUACUGGACACUGGCGUACGCAUGCACAGUAUCUUCACUGUUGCCGAGGUGAUGGCUGUACUGCAGAUCAAUGGACGUAUUUCUGACACCCAAGUAGACUCUGUCAAGCAAUUUGUCAAGUACAAUCAAUUUUAGUCGUACGUUCCUGUUCUGUUUUGCUGAUACCCGUACGCUCUGCUGCUGGUGCUGGUUAUCUACAGGUUUCGUGAGUGAUGUCAUCACAUGUGCUUUUGUAUGGAGUGCAUGACGUCAUCCCAUGUGCUUUGUAUGGAGGACAUGCUGUGGAAACCAGUGCUGGUUUUGAAUUGAGUAGUAAACAGUUUAUAUUGAGAUUUGAACAGCAAACAGUUUGUAUUAAGUGGCAAACGGAACAAACAGUGUUACGAAAGUAGCAGCCAUGUCACUGUGGCAAAGCAGCAACAUCGCACUGCUCCUGUACGGCAUUGCCACUCCAUACAGGGAAAGCAUCCCAAAUGAUGACGUAAUUGCAUACCCAAUGAUGACGUAAUUGCAUACCUAAUGAUGAUGUCAUCGCGUAACGUCUAUCAGUAAGCUAGUAUAUUAUGAUUUCGGCGUGCUCUCUGUACUAACAAGCAGUGGCUUGUUUUAAAACUACUGCUACCAUGAUUUGCCGCAUUCGAGGGUAUUAACGGUAUUGCCACUGCUGCAUUCGAGGGUAUUAACGGUA
Molecule: long non-coding RNA, 1021 nt
Organism: Sycon ciliatum
Lineage: Eukaryota; Metazoa; Porifera; Calcarea; Leucosolenida; Sycettidae
Exons: 2
Source: RefSeq, a predicted model, not a curated record